UUGGAGGGCAAGUCUGGUGCCAGCAGCCGCGGUAAUUCCAGCUCCAAUAGCGUAUAUUAAAGUUGUUGCAGUUAAAAAGCUCGUAGUUGAAUUUCGAGACCGGUCUACUGGUCGUGCUUUUGUACGUACUGGUAUAAUCGGUUUCUCUCUUCUGACGAACUAUAAUGCCAUUAAUUUGGUGUUUUAGGGAAUCAGGACUGUUACUUUGAAAAAAUUAGAGUGUUUAAAGCAGGCUCACGCUUGAAUACAUUAGCAUGGAAUAACGAAAUAGGACGUUUGAUUUUAUUUUGUUGGUUUCUAGGAUCGACGUAAUGAUUAAUAGGGAUAGUUGGGGGCAUUAGUAUUCAAUUGUCAGAGGUGAAAUUCUUGGAUUUAUUGAAGACUAACUACUGCGAAAGCAUUUGCCAAGGAUGUUUUCAUUAAUCAAGAACGAAAGUUAGGGGAUCGAAGACGAUCAGAUACCGUCGUAGUCUUAACCAUAAACUAUGCCGACUAGGGAUCGGAUGAUGUUAAAUUAAUGACUCAUUCGGCGCCUUACGGGAAA
RNAcentral lists this ribosomal RNA (544 nucleotides) under uncultured Glomus. RNAcentral's name for it is "SSU rRNA". It matches the Rfam family "Eukaryotic small subunit ribosomal RNA", at positions 548 to 1097 of the family's 1831-position model. Lineage: Eukaryota; Fungi; Glomeromycota; Glomeromycetes; Glomerales; Glomeraceae. The record is from RNAcentral.